GCCUCCUUGGCGCAAUCGGCUAGCGCGUUCGGUUGUUAACCGAAGGUUGAUGGUUCGAGCCCAUCGGGGCGAA
This 73-nucleotide transfer RNA is filed under the name Trichonephila clavipes. Its description in RNAcentral is "tRNA-Asn". It matches the Rfam family "tRNA". Rfam says of the family: Transfer RNA (tRNA) molecules are approximately 80 nucleotides in length. Lineage: Eukaryota; Metazoa; Arthropoda; Arachnida; Araneae; Nephilidae. The record is from RNAcentral.